RNAcentral lists this ribosomal RNA (451 nucleotides) under uncultured bacterium. RNAcentral describes it as "partial 16S ribosomal RNA". It matches the Rfam family "Bacterial small subunit ribosomal RNA", at positions 354 to 796 of the family's 1533-position model. The record is from RNAcentral.
GUGGGGAAUAUUGGACAAUGGGGGGAACCCUGAUCCAGCCAUGCCGCGUGUGUGAAGAAGGCCUUUUGGUUGUAAAGCACUUUAAGCGAGGAGGAGGCUUACCUGGUUAAUACCUAGGAUAAGUGGACGUUACUCGCAGAAUAAGCACCGGCUAACUCUGUGCCAGCAGCCGCGGUAAUACAGAGGGUGCGAGCGUUAAUCGGAUUUACUGGGCGUAAAGCGCGCGUAGGUGGCCAAUUAAGUCAAAUGUGAAAUCCCCGAGCUUAACUUGGGAAUUGCAUUCGAUACUGGUUGGCUAGAGUAUGGGAGAGGAUGGUAGAAUUCCAGGUGUAGCGGUGAAAUGCGUAGAGAUCUGGAGGAAUACCGAUGGCGAAGGCAGCCAUCUGGCCUAAUACUGACACUGAGGUGCGAAAGCAUGGGGAGCAAACAGGAUUAGAAACCCCAGUAGUCC